RNAcentral lists this long non-coding RNA (132 nucleotides) under Mustela putorius furo (domestic ferret). RNAcentral describes it as "lncRNA (ENSMPUG00000025893.1)". Lineage: Eukaryota; Metazoa; Chordata; Mammalia; Carnivora; Mustelidae. The record is from RNAcentral.
GUCCCCUGCUGAGCUUCUUCCUCCCAAAGUCCCCUCAAGAAGUACAGCUAAAAUACUGGAUAAGCCUUCAUUCCACAAAAGCAUACUAAAGCAAUGAGUAGAAAAUGCGACAUUACACAUAUUUCCAACAUG